RNAcentral lists this long non-coding RNA (1892 nucleotides) under Coffea arabica (coffee). RNAcentral describes it as "long non-coding RNA (CARA_LNC004439)". Lineage: Eukaryota; Viridiplantae; Streptophyta; Magnoliopsida; Gentianales; Rubiaceae. The record is from RNAcentral.
CCUUAUCAUCCAAAUAUCAUCCAAGUAUCUCCGGGCAGCUUCCGCCACACACGCCGUAACUCCUAUCACCCUACUGCUCCUCAGUCCUCAGUAUACCAUAGCUUGGCUUCCCCGAAUGGCCGUUCCCAUUUAUAACUACUACUGUUCCCCGCUCCUCGGUUGCCUGCCCUGUGCCUUCCCCUUCUCCUCCUUUCCACCGUAUCGUCAGCUACACCUUCUCUCACCCAAUUCUUUACACUCCUCUUCUUCUUCGCUUUACCAUUUAAAAAAUCAAAGUAUUACUAGCGCUACGAUUACGGUAUGAUGAGAGGAUCUCAUUUACUGAUGCUUGCUCAACUCUUUUCGGAAAAGAAAUCGACGGAAUUGGAAGAAGGAAGAAACAGCUACAGUUAAAAAAGAUUUCAGGCCCAAAUCGGGCAGAAAGCAACGGAAAGCGCAGAAAGGCAGCAAAAUAUAUUUUUAAAUUGCCCAUUCUACCCCUAAAAAACUGUUGAAUAAAAUAUUUAUUUACUUAUAUAUCCAAAAUCACCUGCUUUCUUUCAUAAACUCCCAAACAACAUUAAAAUAUCUUCUCUUCUUUUCUUAUCCUUUCUUCCCUCUCGUAACUUAACCUCUCUCUUCUUUUCUUUUCUAUCCUCAACUCACAAACUAGCUAUAAAUCUCAUUGGAUUAGGAAUUAAAAACCAGAAGAAGGAGCUGUUUGGGGGUGAAGGUGUAAUAUAACUGUAAGAGAAAGGGCCGAAGCACGAAUAAAGCGGAGAUGGGAUGGCGGCGCCCCCACACCUUAUCAUCCAAAUAUCAUCCAAGUAUCUCCGGGCAGCUUCCGCCACACACGCCGUAACUCCUAUCACCCUACUGCUCCUCAGUCCUCAGUAUACCAUAGCUUGGCUUCCCCGAAUGGCCGUUCCCAUUUAUAACUACUACUGUUCCCCGCUCCUCGGCUGCCUGCCCUGUGCCUUCCCCUUCUCCUCCUUUCCACCGUAUCGUCAGCUACACCUUCUCUCACCCAAUUCUUUACACUCCUCUUCUUCUUCGCUUUACCAUUUAAAAAAUCAAAGUAUUACUAGCGCUACGAUUACGGUAUGAUGAGAGGAUCUCAUUUACUGAUGCUUGCUCAACUCUUUUCGGAAAAGAAAUCGACGGAAUUGGAAGAAGGAAGAAACAGCUACAGUUAAAAAAGAUUUCCGGCCCAAAUCGGGCAGAAAGCAACGGAAAGCGCAGAAAGGCAGCAAAAUAUAUUUUUAAAUUGCCCAUUCUACCCCUAAAAAACUGUUGAAUAAAAUAUUUAUUUACUUAUAUAUCCAAAAUCACCUGCUUUCUUUCAUAAACUCCCAAACAACAUUAAAAUAUCUUCUCUUCUUUUCUUAUCCUUUCUUCCCUCUCGUAACUUAACCUCUCUCUUCUUUUCUUUUCUAUCCUCAACUCACAAACUAGCUAUAAAUCUCAUUGGAUUAGGAAUUAAAAACCAGAAGAAGGAGCUGUUUGGGGGUGAAGGUGUAAUAUAACUGUAAGAGAAAGGGCCGAAGCACGAAUAAAGCGGAGAUGGGAUGGCGGCGCCCCCACACCUUAUCAUCCAAAUAUCAUCCAAGUAUCUCCGGGCAGCUUCCGCCACACACGCCGUAACUCCUAUCACCCUACUGCUCCUCAGUCCUCAGUAUACCAUAGCUUGGCUUCCCCGAAUGGCCGUUCCCAUUUAUAACUACUACUGUUCCCCGCUCCUCGGCUGCCUGCCCUGUGCCUUCCCCUUCUCCUCCUUUCCACCGUAUCGUCAGCUACACCUUCUCUCACCCAAUUCUUUACACUCCUCUUCUUCUUCGCUUUACCAUUUAAAAAAUCAAAGUAUUACUAGCGCUACGAUUACGGUAUGAUGAGAGGAUCUCAUUUACUGAUGC